ACCCGCUGAACUUAAGCAUAUCAAUAAGCGGAGGAAAAGAAACCAACAGGGAUUGCUCUAGUAACGGCGAGUGAAGCAGCAAUAGCUCAAAUUUGAAAUCUGGCGUCUUCGGCGUCCGAGUUGUAAUUUGUAGAGGAUGCUUCUGGGCAGCCACCGACCUAAGUUCCUUGGAACAGGACGUCAUAGAGGGUGAGAAUCCCGUAUGCGGUCGGAAAGGCACCCUACACGUAGCUCCUUCGACGAGUCGAGUUGUUUGGGAAUGCAGCUCUAAAUGGGAGGUAAAUUUCUUCUAAAGCUAAAUAUUGGCCAGAGACCGAUAGCGCACAAGUAGAGUGAUCGAAAGAUGAAAAGCACUUUGGAAAGAGAGUUAAAAAGCACGUGAAAUUGUUGAAAGGGAAGGGAUUGCAACCAGACUUGCUCGCGGUGUUCCGCCGGUCUUCUGACCGGUCUACUCGCCGCGUUGCAGGCCAGCAUCGUCUGGUGCCGCUGGAUAAGACUUGAGGAAUGUAGCUCCCUCGGGAGUGUUAUAGCCUCUUGUGAUGCAGCGAGCGCCGGGCGAGGUCCGCGCUUCGGCUAGGAUGCUGGCGUAAUGGUUGUAAUCCGCCCGUCUUGAAACACGGACCAAGGAGUCUAACAUCUAUGCGAGUGUUCGGGUGUCAAACCCCUACGCGUAAUGAAAGUGAACGGAGGUGAGAACCGCAAGGUGCAUCAUCGACCGAUCCUGAUGUCUUCGGAUGGAUUUGAGUAUGAGCAUAGCUGUUGGGACCCGAAAGAUGGUGAACUAUGCCUGAAUAGGGUGAAGCCAGAGGAAACUCUGGUGGAGGCUCGCAGCGGUUCUGACGUGCAAAUCGAUCGUCAAAUUUGGGUAUAGGGGCGAAAGACUAAUCGAACCAUCCAUGGCGCCC
This 905-nucleotide ribosomal RNA is filed under the name Scolecobasidium sp. YZ-2019. Its description in RNAcentral is "Ochroconis sp. YZ-2019 partial large subunit ribosomal RNA". It matches the Rfam family "Eukaryotic large subunit ribosomal RNA", at positions 23 to 959 of the family's 3401-position model. The record is from RNAcentral. Lineage: Eukaryota; Fungi; Ascomycota; Dothideomycetes; Venturiales; Sympoventuriaceae.